Molecule: long non-coding RNA, 3211 nt
Organism: Nylanderia fulva
Lineage: Eukaryota; Metazoa; Arthropoda; Insecta; Hymenoptera; Formicidae
Source: RefSeq, a predicted model, not a curated record
CAAAUCUCCCCCAUAUCCAUCACGUUGCGCGUCUAGCGCGAGACUGAUACGUAAACUCGCAUUUCGAUAGUCUCGAUUCUCGAUUGUGAAGGACACCGCUGCGCGGGCAGCUUGUGGUCACGUGGUCAAGCGAGGUACCGUCAAGUGGCGCCAUCACUACGCAAAGUCGCAGAGUUUCGGGAUCGGUAGUGGGGAUCAAUCUUCCGCGAGAUGCGCAGCGCAGUGGAUUUGUAGGACGUGCGAGAGAGAAGGACGUUGGGUCCUGUGGUCACGUGGUCAGGCGAGGUGCUGUCAAGUGGCGCCGCGACACGCCACUACGCAAAGCUUCGGUCAGUAGUAAAGCUGUAAGGCUCAUCAGACAUCAGUCUACCGCAGAAGUGUAAUGGAUAUGUCAAGAUGCGUGAGUUCAAUGGAAGCACAGGUAAUAUUGCGAUACACAGUGUGAUUUAUAAGUCGUGUCGGUAGCGCCGUGUAAAGUUUUACGUGCCGCGUAAAGUUUCGCGAGUCGGAAGUGCCGCGUAAAGUGUCGGGCGAUCGUAAUUAUUCGUGUUUUCGUGAGUUUUCGUGAGUGCUACGAAGGAGGCCCGGGGAGGCAUCGAGUGACAGCGAGGUAACUAUGAGGUAUUCGAUGUACGCGAAAUAUACGUGCUAUUUACGUAUCGCGUCGGGAGUGUCGUGUAAAGUAUUGCGCGUCGGGAGUGUCGUGUAAAGUGUCGGGCGAUCGUAAUUAUUCGUGUUUUCGCGAGUGCCGCGAGUGCUACGAAGGACCAAGAGAGAAGGAAGCCCGAGAAGGCACCGGGCGAUAGCGGGACAACUGUAAGAUCAAUGCGUUGUGUACUACAACUCUGCUGUUGCACGUAUCGAAUUUCACGAACUGGAUGGAAACGCAUCUAAUCCGGAGUUAAAAGAGGUCUGCCGUCGAUCGGCAUCGCGAGACUCAACGCUGCGAGCACGAUGUGGGUGUGACCUGGUUUGCGAGAGUUUCACUUUCCUGUAACAUCGUUGCACGGAGGAGUGCAUCUCAUCAUUAUCUAGCGAAUUGAAAAAUCACCCAAGCACCAACACUGACUGAAACGGCUGCCUAUUCUAUUCUGAUUUUCGCGAAGUGGAGCGAAGCUGCGUAAAUGUACGUGUUAGAGUCGCGCAGGUAAGUAGCACACGGCGUUGUUAUCUAACAAACCGCGAGCGCAGAAGAAGCGGGCGCUUCGCGCGAUGAAAGGGAAAUUCUGCCUUUUGCCCCGCUUAGCGAUCCGCGGAGAUCACGAUGCGGUUCCGGUCGUUGAUCCUAAGUACUCUCCCGCCGCGCCGAGCGGAUCAGCUGCAGUUAACCCUCCCAGGCGCGCACUAUUACUUGUACUACUACUUUUCUCGGCACCACCGCUCACCUUCACCUCGUCUCUUACUCAACUCAAUCGCAAGCGGACCCCCGAGUCUCUCUACCCCCGUUGCAUAAUCGCCGUGCACAAUCAUUACCGAGUCGGAUCGUCACUCGAGCGGAAUAAGUGCGCGCUACGGAUCGAAAAGCCGGCGCAUUAAUCGCGUCGCGUCACGUCGCGUCGGCUUUGUCAGGCGCGAAGUUCAGGAUGGCCAAAGCGAACCCGUGACAUUUCGACUAAGGCAAAUUCUCGAACCUUGAUUGAAUCUCGGUUCUUCAUGUUCCUACAAAAUAUAGCGGAAGAAUGCAAAUGCCUUACGUGAAAAACGAUAAUGAGAGCAAUUUCGUGCAUUUAGAAAGCGUAUUUAAGAAGCCUAUAUUUAUUAUCAAACGACAAAGGAAAAUAACACCAUUUUGGAGACACGAUAAGCUUUAAAAAACAUGUAACGUACAUUAACAUGAUGAGCUGCAUUUUAAAACUAAUGUAAUACGAACGAAUUAUUAUAAAACGAAGUUGUUGAAAAUAUUUCACGUGACAAACGCCACAGUUAUCGAUCUGCUCGUUAUCGAUUUGAAAGAAAAAAAAAAAAAAAAAAGAAACAGCUUUUCCUGUUUCUCGCAGUUUUCGAAAAUUACUAAUGCAGCAUAUUUACUCGUGCUUAUGCGGCUCAGGGUUAAGAUCGCAUUGAUACAGCAAAAGCAACGUCGGCAUCGCGCGCUUAUCGGGGCUCGUUUAAGUGCCAGCUGUCAAGGUCUUAUCAUUUUUCCGCGUGCUAGGUAGUGGCUCCUCAGGCUCGCUCGUAUAUCGGCUGCAAAAAAAUAUCAGUGUUUUCACGUUCGACCGUUUCGCAUCUUUAUCGCCGCCGACAUCGCCGUUGACGACGCGAUGGCAGCCUUGCGUCCUUGCAUGAAAUGAUGAACGUUGAACCCUGCGGAUACGCCGGCAUAGCGGCGCAGCCUCUCGACAUCUCGCGAUUUCUCGUGAAUCAUCCGUCGUUCGCACAUAUAUUGUCGUUAUCUAUAAAACCGAUUACUGCAAUGCGCUCGCUCUCGCGUGCAUGCAUGUAUGUGUUUCGGGUCUCGAUGUAAAGAUAACGGAAUAAUGCGCGAAGCCGUUUAAAUAAUGACAGCACAGAUCGUUCAUUACGACCCUUCGUGGAAAUUCAUAUUUGAAUUAAUAAUAGAAGCUAUAAUUAUUUUCUAAUAUUAAUCCAUCAGGUGUUUAUCUUUUCUCUGAUAUAAAGAUUAAUGUAAUAAUAUGAAUUAGCAGAAGAUAAAUAUAUAUUAUAUCAUCUAUUUCUAUAUCUAUGUAUGUAUAGGCCAAGUAUUAUCACUCUGCAAUAACUUGUAGAUCACCUCAUCUUUCACACUUAAGGAAAGAUGAGAAAAAUUACGGAUAUAUAUACUAAAGAGCAAAAACCUUAUUUCUGUAUCAAUGUAGCUUUUCAAGAGUCAAUAGCAGAGAUUGUUGAUUUCUUUUGUAUAAAAAAACAGUUGAGAAAUUUUAAAUUUUAGUAUGACAAAAGUAUUGUAAAACGCAAAAACAUGUUUUGAUCGACGUGGACCAUAUGAGAUCAUCAUCAAAUGCUUUACUUUGCGCGAUGCAUAUUAUGCAUGUUUUUCUUUGAGAAAGGUCAUGAUCCUUCUAAAAAAACAUACAUUCAAAAUAGACGUAGACUUUUCAUCUCGUUUCUAUUAUCUCUCUAUUUGAUCAUAUAUUUGACUCUCACACGAUUACGAUAGUUAAGUUUACGAUUGUACAAUUGUGUUGAAUAACAAGAGAAUUGUCAUCAUAAUAUAAAGAGGAAAACGUGUUUUUAUAAUGUAAAAAUAAAU